GAUGAACGCUGGCGGCGUGCCUAAUACAUGCAAGUCGAGCGAACAGACGAGGAGCUUGCUCCUCUGACGUUAGCGGCGGACGGGUGAGUAACACGUGGAUAACCUACCUAUAAGACUGGGAUAACUUCGGGAAACCGGAGCUAAUACCGGAGAAUAUAUUGAACCGCAUGGUUCAAUAGUGAAAGACGGUUUUGCUGUCACUUAUAGAUGGAUCCGCGCCGCAUUAGCUAGUUGGUAAGGUAACGGCUUACCAAGGCGACGAUGCGUAGCCGACCUGAGAGGGUGAUCGGCCACACUGGAACUGAGACACGGUCCAGACUCCUACGGGAGGCAGCAGUAGGGAAUCUUCCGCUAUGGGCGAAAGCCUGACGGAGCAACGCCGCGUGAGUGAUGAAGGUCUUCGGAUCGUAAAACUCUGUUAUUAGGGAAGAACAAAUGUGUAAGUAACUAUGCACGUCUUGACGGUACCUAAUCAGAAAGCCACGGCUAACUACGUG
This 497-nucleotide ribosomal RNA is filed under the name uncultured bacterium. RNAcentral's name for it is "partial 16S ribosomal RNA". It matches the Rfam family "Bacterial small subunit ribosomal RNA", at positions 28 to 507 of the family's 1533-position model. The record is from RNAcentral.